Molecule: ribosomal RNA, 253 nt
Filed under: uncultured bacterium
Lineage: Bacteria
Description: partial 16S ribosomal RNA
Rfam family: Bacterial small subunit ribosomal RNA
Source: RNAcentral
UACGUAGGGGGCAAGCGUUGUCCGGAUUUAUUGGGCGUAAAGAGCGUGUAGGCGGCCAUACAGGUCCGUUGUGAAAACUCGAGGCUUAACCUCGAGACGUCGAUGGAAACCGUAUGGCUAGAGUCCGGAAGAGGAGAGUGGAAUUCCUGGUGUAGCGGUGAGAUGCGCAGAUAUCAGGAGGAACACCCGUGGCGAAAGCGGCUCUCUGGGACGGUACUGACGCUGAGACGCGAAAGCGUGGGGAGCAAACAGG